Molecule: ribosomal RNA, 253 nt
Filed under: uncultured bacterium
Lineage: Bacteria
Description: partial 16S ribosomal RNA
Rfam family: Bacterial small subunit ribosomal RNA
Source: RNAcentral
GACAGAGGUGCCAAGCGUUAGGCGGAAUCACUGGGCUUAAAGCGUGUGUAGGCGGAUCGUUAAGUACCUUGUGAAAUCCCACGGCUCAACCGUGGAACUGCUGGGUAUACUGGCGAUCUUGAGCCACCUAGGGGCGAGCGGAACAAGCGGUGGAGCGGUGAAAUGCGUAGAUAUCGCUUGGAACGCCAAUGGUGAAAACAGCUCGCUGGGGGUGUGCUGACGCUGAGACACGAAAGUCAGGGGAGCGAACGGG